UGGAAGCAUUCCAGUGCUGUGACUGUUAUGUUUGAUAAAGUGCAGUUCAGCAACAAGUCAGCAAACAUGGAUCACCAGCAGCAGAGGUUCCUCACACAUGUCAAAGAGGUGGCCACUGUGUGCCGGCAGCUAGCAGAGAAGAGAAUGCUGGAUCCAUCAAUUAAGGGAACCUUUCACUGGUCUGGCAAUGAACAGACGACUAAGUAUGAAAUGGCGUGUGCAAUUGCAGAUGCCUUCAACCUCCCCAGCAGUCACUUAAGACCUAUUACUGACAGCCCUGUCCUAGGAGCACAGCGUCCAAGAAAUGCUCAGCUUGACUGCUCCAAAUUGGAGACCUUGGGCACUGGCCAACGAACACCACUUCGAAUUGGAAUUAAAGAAUCACUUUGGCCUUUCCUCAUUGACAAGAGAUGGAGACAAAUGGUCUUUCAUUAGUUUAUUUGUGUUGUUUUUUUUUUUUUUUUAAUGAAAAGUAUAGCAUGUGGCACUUUUUAAAGAACAAAGGAAACAGUUUUGUAUGAGUACUUUAAUUGUGACUCUUAGGAUCUUUCAGGUCAAUGAUGCUCUUGCACUAGUGAAAUUGUCUAAAGAAACUAAAGGGCAAUGUUGCCCUGUUUGCAGUAAUUUUUCUUUUUAUCAUUUUGUUUGUCCUGGCUAAACUUGGAGUUUGAGUAUAGUAAAUUAGGUCCUUAAAUAUUUGAGAGCCAGGAUGAAGCAGAUCUGCUGUAGACUUUUCAGAUGAAAUGCAUUGUUCAUUCUCAUAACCUCCAUAUUUUCAGGAUUUUUGAAGCUGUUGACCUUUUCAUGUUCAUUAUUUUAAAUUGUGUGAAAUGGUAUAGAAAUCAUUGGUGUUCAUUAUUUGCUUUGCUUGAGCUCAGAUCAAAAUGUUUGAAGAAAGGAACUUUAUUUUUGCAAGUUAUGUACAGUUUUUAUGCUUAAGAUAUUUCAACAUGUUAUGUAUAUUGGAACUUCUACAGCUUGAUGCUUCCUGCUUUUAUAGCAGUUUAUGGGGAGCACUUGAAAGAGCAUGUGUACGUGUAUUUUUUUCCUAGGUAAACAUUGAAUGCAAAUGUGUAUUUUUUUAAUAUAAAUAUAUAACUGUCCUUUUCAUCCCAUGUCGCUGCUAAGUGAUAUUUCGUAUGUGUGGUUAUACUCAUAAUAAUGGGCCUUGUAAGUCUUUUCACCAUUCAUGAAUAAUAAUUCUGA
RNA transcript from Cercocebus atys (sooty mangabey), 1206 nucleotides. It is a transcript of the gene named methionine adenosyltransferase 2 subunit beta pseudogene, with no coding region annotated. NCBI's taxonomy places the organism in Eukaryota, Metazoa, Chordata, Mammalia, Primates, Cercopithecidae. The transcript has a single exon. The record is from RefSeq and is a predicted model, not a curated record.